This 85-nucleotide transfer RNA is filed under the name Felis catus (domestic cat). It matches the Rfam family "tRNA". From Rfam's summary of the family: Transfer RNA (tRNA) molecules are approximately 80 nucleotides in length. Their secondary structure includes four short double-helical elements and three loops (D, anti-codon, and T loops). The record is from Rfam by way of RNAcentral. RNAcentral also lists the same sequence under 3 other names. Lineage: Eukaryota; Metazoa; Chordata; Mammalia; Carnivora; Felidae.
GCCUGGGUGGCUCAGUCCGUUAAGUGUCUGACUUCAGCUCAGGUCAUGAUCUCACGGUUUGUGGGUUCGAGCCCCGCAUCGGGCU